RNAcentral lists this ribosomal RNA (429 nucleotides) under Escherichia coli. Its description in RNAcentral is "partial 23S ribosomal RNA". It matches the Rfam family "Bacterial large subunit ribosomal RNA", at positions 1 to 469 of the family's 2925-position model. The record is from RNAcentral. Lineage: Bacteria; Pseudomonadati; Pseudomonadota; Gammaproteobacteria; Enterobacterales; Enterobacteriaceae.
GGUUAAGCGACUAAGCGUACACGGUGGAUGCCCUGGCAGUCAGAGGCGAUGAAGGACGUGCUAAUCUGCGAUAAGCGUCGGUAAGGUGAUAUGAACCGUUAUAACCGGCGAUUUCCGAAUGGGGAAACCCAGUGUGUUUCGACACACUAUCAUUAACUGAAUCCAUAGGUUAAUGAGGCGAACCGGGGGAACUGAAACAUCUAAGUACCCCGAGGAAAAGAAAUCAACCGAGAUUCCCCCAGUAGCGGCGAGCGAACGGGGAGCAGCCCAGAGCCUGAAUCAGUGUGUGUGUUAGUGGAAGCGUCUGGAAAGGCGCGCGAUACAGGGUGACAGCCCCGUACACAAAAAUGCACAUGCUGUGAGCUCGAUGAGUAGGGCGGGACACGUGGUAUCCUGUCUGAAUAUGGGGGGACCAUCCUCCAAGGCUAA